Molecule: ribosomal RNA, 383 nt
Filed under: uncultured eukaryote
Lineage: Eukaryota
Description: partial 18S ribosomal RNA
Rfam family: Eukaryotic small subunit ribosomal RNA
Source: RNAcentral
CAAUAGCGUAUAUUAAAGUUGUUGCAGUUAAAAAGCUCGUAGUUGGAUUUCUGGUGGGAGCGAUCGGUCUGGCGCUUAGCGCGAGUACUUGCAUCGUCUCCGGCCAUCCUUGGGGAGAGUCUGUCUGGCAUUAAGUUGUCGGGCAGAGGAUCCUCAUCGUUUACUGUGAAAAAAUUAGAGUGUUCAAAGCAGGCUUAUGCCGUUGAAUAUAUUCGCAUGGAAUAAUAAGAUAGGACUUUGGUACUAUUUUGUUGGUUUGCGCACCAAAGUAAUGAUUAAUAGGGACAGUUGGGGGUAUUCGUAUUCCGUUGUCAGAGGUGAAAUUCUUGGAUUUACGGAAGACGAACUACUGCGAAAGCAUUUACCAAGGAUGUUUUCAUUAA